RNAcentral lists this ribosomal RNA (497 nucleotides) under uncultured bacterium. Its description in RNAcentral is "partial 16S ribosomal RNA". It matches the Rfam family "Bacterial small subunit ribosomal RNA", at positions 28 to 507 of the family's 1533-position model. The record is from RNAcentral.
GAUGAACGCUGGCGGCGUGCCUAAUACAUGCAAGUCGAGCGAACAGACGAGGAGCUUGCUCCUCUGCCGUUAGCGGCGGACGGGUGAGUAACACGUGGAUAACCUACCUAUAAGACUGGGAUAACUUCGUGAAACCGGAGCUAAUACCGGAUCAUAUAUUGAACCGCAUGGUUCAAUAGUUAAAGACGGUUUUGCUGUCACUUAUAGAUGUAUCCGCGCCGCAUUAGCUAGUUGGUAAGGUAACGGCUUACCAAGGCAACGAUGCGUAGCCGACCUGAGAGGGUGAUCGGCCACACUGGAACUGAGACACGGUCCAGACUCCUACGGGAGGCAGCAGUAGGGAAUCUUCCGCAAUGGGCGAAAGCCUGACGGAGCAACGCCGCGUGAGUGAUGAAGGUCUUCGGAUCGUAAAACUCUGUUAUUAGGGAAGAACAAAUGUGUAAGUAACUAUGCACGUCUUGACGGUACCUAAUCAGAAAGCCAUGGCUAACUACGUG